RNAcentral lists this small RNA (1006 nucleotides) under Pongo abelii (Sumatran orangutan). RNAcentral's name for it is "retained intron". The record is from RNAcentral. Lineage: Eukaryota; Metazoa; Chordata; Mammalia; Primates; Hominidae.
AACUGUGCGGAUCAGACCCGGCAGCCUUGCUCUGUUCAGCAUAGCAUAGCGGAGCGGAUCCGAGCGGAUCGGAGCGGAUCGGAGCGGAUCGGAGCACACCGGAGCAGACUCAUCGAGAGGGCGUCUGCGAGACCAUGGAGAACGGAUACACAUAUGAAGAUUAUAAGAACACUGCAGAAUGGCUUCUGUCUCACACUAAGCACCGACCUCAAGUUGCAAUAAUCUGUGGUUCUGGAUUAGGAGGUCUGACUGAUAAAUUAACUCAGGCCCAGAUCUUUGACUACAGUGAAAUCCCCAACUUUCCCCGAAGUACAGUACCAGGUCAUGCUGGCCGACUGGUGUUUGGGUUCCUGAAUGGCAGAGCCUGUGUGAUGAUGCAGGGCAGGUUCCACAUGUAUGAAGGGUACUCACUCUGGAAGGUAAGUCAGGGGGAUAGGCCUGGUUGGAUCUGGAAGAGGCAGGAGAGAACUGUCUAGCCUCUUUCGCUACCUAGCUGUCUGGACUAGGUGGAUUUUUGGUCCUCUCCUUCCUUUUCUUUCACGAUGUAUGUCAUGCAUUUCAGUGUAGCUGAAUUAAUGAAAUUUUGUAAAUUUUUUUCUGAUCUUUUGCUUCGAAGGUGACAUUCCCAGUGAGGGUUUUCCACCUUCUGGGUGUGGACACCCUGGUGGUCACCAAUGCAGCAGGAGGGCUGAACCCCAAGUUUGAGGUUGGAGAUAUCAUGCUGAUCCGUGACCAUAUCAACCUACCUGGUUUCAGUGGUCAGAACCCUCUCAGAGGGCCCAAUGAUGAAAGGUAUGUAUGUUACUCCGUUUUUUUUUUGAUGGGUAGGAUUUAAAGACUUCUAGGAGCUGUGGGAGAAUUUUUUAAAUUCCGUUUAUGUGAGAUAAUUCAACCUGUGUCCUAGGUUUGGAGUUCGUUUCCCUGCCAUGUCUGAUGCCUACGACCGGACUAUGAGGCAGAGGGCUCUCAGUACCUGGAAACAAAUGGGGGAGCAACGUGAGCUACA